RNAcentral lists this unclassified non-coding RNA (299 nucleotides) under Hevea brasiliensis (rubber tree). Lineage: Eukaryota; Viridiplantae; Streptophyta; Magnoliopsida; Malpighiales; Euphorbiaceae. The record is from RNAcentral.
GGGUUUUUAGACUCUGUUUGCAAAUUCUGAAACCCAAGAGACACAUUAAAAACCAUGCCAGAUUUCAGCAUUCUAUCAUUCUUGCCGUUGAGGUUUAACCCUGAUUCACGGAACUCAAGCCCAAUUCCAGUUCCUGCAGAUCUCGUCAAAUUUGCAACCAAUUCAGGUGCCUCCUUUUCAACCACAUUGAGGGCUGCUUGGUAGACAUCUCCAGCCUUAUUUCCUGGUCUCAGAGCUCCAAUUGCAGCCUCAUGAGCCUUCAAAAGGACUUCAUACGCCUUGCUUUGCAUUGGAUUGGC